This 253-nucleotide ribosomal RNA is filed under the name uncultured bacterium. RNAcentral describes it as "partial 16S ribosomal RNA". It matches the Rfam family "Bacterial small subunit ribosomal RNA", at positions 524 to 776 of the family's 1533-position model. The record is from RNAcentral.
UACGGAGGGUGCAAGCGUUAUCCGGAUUCACUGGGUUUAAAGGGAGCGUAGGUGGGUUGGUAAGUCAGUGGUGAAAUCCCUUCGCUUAACGAAGGAACUGCCAUUGAUACUGAGGUUCUUGAAUCUAGUUGACGUUAGUGGAAUGUGUCAUGUAGCGGUGAAAUGCUUAGAUAUGACACAGAACACCGAUCGCGAAGGCAGCUAACGAAGCUAGUAUUGACGCUCAGGCACGACAGCAUGGGGAGCAAACAGG